CAGGCUUAACACAUGCAAGUCGAGGGGCAGCAUGGUCUUAGCUUGCUAAGGCCGAUGGCGACCGGCGCACGGGUGAGUAACACGUAUCCAACCUGCCGUCUACUCUUGGACAGCCUUCUGAAAGGAAGAUUAAUACAAGAUGGCAUCAUGAGUCCGCAUGUUCACAUGAUUAAAGGUAUUCCGGUAGACGAUGGGGAUGCGUUCCAUUAGAUAGUAGGCGGGGUAACGGCCCACCUAGUCUUCGAUGGAUAGGGGUUCUGAGAGGAAUGUCCCCCACAUUGGAACUGAGACACGGUCCAAACUCCUACGGGAGGCAGCAGUGAGGAAUAUUGGUCAAUGGGCGCAGGCCUGAACCAGCCAAGUAGCGUGAAGGAUGACUGCCCUAUGGGUUGUAAACUUCUUUUAUAAAGGAAUAAAGUCGGGUAUGGAUACCCGUUUGCAUGUACUUUAUGAAUAAGGAUCGGCUAACUCCGUGCCAGCAGCCGCGGUAAUACGGAGGAUCCGAGCGUUAUCCGGAUUUAUUGGGUUUAAAGGGAGCGUAGAUGGAUGUUUAAGUCAGUUGUGAAAGUUUGCGGCUCAACCGUAAAAUUGCAGUUGAUACUGGAUAUCUUGAGUGCAGUUGAGGCAGGCGGAAUUCGUGGUGUAGCGGUGAAAUGCUUAGAUAUCACGAAGAACUCCGAUUGCGAAGGCAGCCUGCUAAGCUGCAACUGACACUGAGGCUCGAAAGUGUGGGUAUCAAACAGGAUUAGAUACCCUGGUAGUCCACACGGUAAACGAUGAAUACUCGCUGUUUGCGAUAUACGGCAAGCGGCCAAGCGAAAGCGUUAAGUAUUCCACCUGGGGAGUACGCCGGCAACGGUGAAACUCAAAGGAAUUGACGGGGGCCCGCACAAGCGGAGGAACAUGUGGUUUAAUUCGAUGAUACGCGAGGAACCUUACCCGGGCUUAAAUUGCAGAUGAAUUACGGUGAAAGCCGUAAGCCGCAAGGCAUCUGUGAAGGCGCUGCAUGGUUGUCGUCAGCUCGUGCCGUGAGGUGUCGGCUUAAGUGCCAUAACGAGCGCAACCCUUGUUGUCAGUUACUAACAGGUUCCGCUGAGGACUCUGACAAGACUGCCAUCGUAAGAUGUGAGGAAGGUGGGGAUGACGUCAAAUCAGCACGGCCCUUACGUCCGGGGCUACACACGUGUUACAAUGGGGGGUACAGAGGGCCGCUACCACGCGAGUGGAUGCCAAUCCCAAAAACCUCUCUCAGUUCGGACUGGAGUCUGCAACCCGACUCCACGAAGCUGGAUUCGCUAGUAAUCGCGCAUCAGCCACGGCGCGGUGAAUACGUUCCCGGGCCUUGUACACACCGCCCGUCAAGCCAUGGGAGCCGGGGGUACCUGAAGUGCGUAACCGCGAGGAGCGCCCUAGGGUAAAACUGGUGAC
This 1428-nucleotide ribosomal RNA is filed under the name uncultured organism. RNAcentral describes it as "16S ribosomal RNA". It matches the Rfam family "Bacterial small subunit ribosomal RNA". The record is from RNAcentral.